This 301-nucleotide ribosomal RNA is filed under the name uncultured bacterium. Its description in RNAcentral is "partial 16S ribosomal RNA". It matches the Rfam family "Bacterial small subunit ribosomal RNA", at positions 509 to 807 of the family's 1533-position model. The record is from RNAcentral.
CAGUCGCCGCGGUAAUACGAAGGGGGCUAGCGUUGCUCGGAAUGACUGGGCGUAAAGGGCGCGUAGGCGGAUUGUUUAGUUAGGCGUGAAAUUCCUGGGCUUAACCUGGGGACUGCGCUUAAUACGUGCAGGCUUGAGUGUGGAAGAGGGUCGUGGAAUUCCCGGUGUAGAGGUGAAAUUCGUAGAUAUUGGGAAGAACACCGGUGGCGAAGGCGGCGACCUGGUCCAUUACUGACGCUGAGGCGCGAAAGCGUGGGGAGCAAACAGGAUUAGAUACCCGUGUAGUCCCUGUCUCUUAUAC